RNAcentral lists this ribosomal RNA (255 nucleotides) under uncultured bacterium. RNAcentral's name for it is "partial 16S ribosomal RNA". It matches the Rfam family "Bacterial small subunit ribosomal RNA", at positions 524 to 778 of the family's 1533-position model. The record is from RNAcentral.
UACGUAGGGUGCAAGCGUUGUCCGGAAUUAUUGGGCGUAAAGAGCUCGUAGGCGGUUUGUCGCGUCUGCUGUGAAAACGCGAGGCUCAACCUCGCGCCUGCAGUGGAUACGGGCAGACUAGAGGUAGGUAGGGGAGAAUGGAAUUCCCGGUGUAGCGGUGAAAUGCGCAGAUAUCGGGAGGAACACCGGUGGCGAAGGCGGUUCUCUGGGCCUUACCUGACGCUGAGGAGCGAAAGCGUGGGGAGCGAACAGGAU